RNAcentral lists this long non-coding RNA (5732 nucleotides) under Homo sapiens (human). RNAcentral's name for it is "HSALNT0045089". Lineage: Eukaryota; Metazoa; Chordata; Mammalia; Primates; Hominidae. The record is from RNAcentral.
CUAGAAAAUGAUUUAAAUGUGAGAAUUACAAUAUCUGAUUUAUUAUUCACAGCAUAAUUUUUUAUUAAAUAAACUUUCAAUCCCAUUAUCAUUUUUAAACUACUUAGCUCCAAUCAAAAUGAAAAGGCCCAUUUCUUCAUCUUUAUUGAUGUCUUUCACGUUUCAGUGCCCUGGAAAGAGACUUUCUCUACUUUUAAAUGAAGAAUUCUGGGUUGCUCAUUAUAUCUGAAAGAUGGAUGUAAUGGAAAUGAGUGAUGGAACAGCUCUACAACAGCAACUCUGUGCUUCACUGUGGUUUGCUGCCCUGGAAUAAUAUCUGCUACUUUUGUCUUCACCAAAAUCAUGUGGUUCCCUCACCAGUGUCAUUUACUCGCCCAAACUUUAUCUUAGUGGUGGAGGUGGAUUAGUCCCCUGAACCUUGAGAACAUGUUUUUUUCUUAUGCAUCAUAAUUGGGAAGUUUUUCUUCAAAAUAUCACUAGGCUGAAAAUGAAGUUCUUUAAAAGACUUAUAGAAAGGUAGCGAAAAGAUGUUUUCUUUUUAAUGGAUGUCAAUGGAAAUGCAGUAUAUAUAGUAGGUCCUGAGAAGACUUAACAGAUAUGUGACAUGAAAAUAUGUUUCCUCUCAAAUCCAUGCUUGCCAGAACUUUAUUUUUAAAUAGCAGAAGCCUUGCAAGGAAAUGUGAAAGGCUGGUACUAUUAAAAAGGUCUGAGUUAUUAAAAAAAAUACAUAUGCAUUCCUACAUGAGACAUAUACCUUAAAGAAGGACUGCCUUCUAACGCAGAUUUUGUUUUUGUUUUUUUACUUGGCAUAACAGAGAAGUCAACGCGCUAAUCAAUAAGUGCCAUCUAUUUUUGAUUGACCUUAAUUUUCUGAAUGACUGCUUUUCUUCAAAUAUUUUAAGUCAUGACUAAAUUUCAUUUAAUAAGAAAUGUUUAGGUUAGUUUGUAAACAAGAAAUCAGAUAUUAUGAAUCCAAACCUGGAAUUACAUUUCAAUAAUGCUUAAUUUAUUUCAUAUUUUAGCCAACUGAUUUGUAAUUGUAUUAAGGCUCCCAGGAUAAACUCCAUGGUUAAUUUGGCCCUUUAAAGGUCAACAACAUAUAAGGGCAUAUGUACUUUAAUUCUACUUUAUUCUGAUAUUUCAUAAAACAAUAAUGUAUUAGUCUGUUCUCAUGCUGCUGAUAAAGAUAUACCCAAGACUGAGUAAUUUAUAAAGGAAAGAGAUUAAUUGACUCACAGUUCCACAUGGCUGGGGAGGCCUCACAAUCAUGGAGGAAGGCAACGAGGAGCAAAGUGAUGUCUUACAUGUAGGCAGGCAAGAGAGCUCAUGUGCUGGGGAACUCCGCUUUAUAAAGCCAUCAGAAAUUGUGAGACUUAUUCACUAUUAUGAGAACAGCACUGAAACGACCACACCCAUGAUUCAGUUACCUCCCACUGGGUACCUCCAACGACGUGUGGGAAUUAUGGGAGAUACAAUUCAAGAUUUGGGUGAGGACACAGCCAAAUCAUAUCAAAUGGCAUGAGAUUUAUUGUAAAGAUGCUCUAGUCUGAGGAAUCAAAAAAGCAUAUAUCCAUCUAAAGGUGAGCUGUCGAUUUUCUUGUUGGAAUGUGGAUAUUCUAAUAAAAAAAGAAGCUGAAUAUUUCCUGAUUUUUAAAGAUGGCAACUAAUUUAAAACAGUAACACACUGUGUAGGCCAACACAAAAUGUAUUAGUAGGCCGGUUUCAACCCUGGGGCCACCACCUUGCAACGUCUGAAAUGAAGUAUUCACCAGCAACCCACAGGAAGGCUUGCUUUGGCUAAUCUAUGGUCAAGACAGAAACAAAUUUCAACACCGUGAAAACUGGGACUCAUUGGAGAUGGCAUAGAGGCAGAAAAGACUGAGCGAGUUGUGGAAAAGGCUGAGCAGGAAGAGGAAGCAGAAGAAUGGUAGAAGGAUGUUCAGUGAGAUGUUGCCAUGCAAGGGCAAGGUUAUUAGAGCUGCUGCAGCCAUCUUGUGACAAUAAAAGAGAACCAAGAGGAUUUCAGAAAUACCAUCCCACAUCCUGACAUUAUGUAGCUUCUGAACCAUCUAUCUCCAUGGAUCUUGCUAUGUGAGAUCAUCGGAAGAAACAAAAACAAGCUGUGGUGAAGAAGAAACGUUUUCUAAAGCCUCUUUUAUCCCCAGGAUGGUUGAGAAGUCAGAGGCCUGCAAUGCUAGGAAGAGAGGGUCUAAAGUGGAGGGAAAGAAGCACCCAAGAGCCUUCAUCUCUGUAGACCAGGAGUCCGAAAUGGAUGGUCUAUGCCUGUGCCACAUCCAGCCAGCAGGCAUUUACAUUUGGCUUGCAUAACGUUUAAAAUGAUUUGAAUCAGUUGCCAAAAACUAAAAGCCAGGAGAUUUUCAUGUAAAAAGAAAUCUAAAUUUUGGCUCUUCUUAAAAGAGGCCUAUGUUUUGGACCGGGAAGUCAUUGGACCCCAUUUCUCACACAGCAAGUGGAACUGGGUAGUGAUUGCCAGUUUACCACACGCAGGGUGGCUCCUAGAACAUACUUUCCCUGUGUGGGAAUUAGAAAGAAGCACUGCCUCUGCACAGGUGGAUUUUAAGGGUGCCCCAUUGGACAGGACACGGCCCAUGUGUAAUAGCUUUGCCACAAUUGCCACCAUCUCCUUGAGUCAGUUUACUCAUGUCUGAGCUUUCAGGCAUUUGAGUUUGUGACCCCUGCCAAAGCCUUUGGAGGAAGUAGCUGCCUGCAGCAUACAUCUUGAUGAAAGAGGGCUGGCCAGAGGGCUUUCUCUGAUUGCUUGCACACAGAGAUGGAGACACCAGCAUUUGUUUGACUUAGCUCCUGUGUUUUUCUGAGAACACAGCUGGAUAAUUUUGCAGGAAUUAUAUUCAUAGGCUAGGUCUCUGUAUCCUCAUGAUUCACUCUACUUCCUGAACCUCCACAAUCCCCCACCCCUGGCCGCAUGCUGAUUUGCCAUUUGUUCCUUUUUUCAGCUUAUGAGAGGAAGUGUCCAAGGAGAAUAUAGCAAGUUCUCUCCUAUGACACAGGGAUAUAACUCCUUUAACUUGAAGAGUUUGAGGCAGACUUCAUGAACCAUUUUUGAAUGAGCUGAUUCUAGUAUCUAUCUCUGUUGACAGCUUGCUCUUAUUAUACCCUUCCCCAAAGUGAACCCUGCAGCUACUGACAAUGGAUGAGGCCAAGGAGCUAAGGAGCCCCUCUGUGGCCUCAGCAUACCUGAAUAAUAGUCUCUCUGUGGCUCUCCAAGAACAGUGAGGUUUUCUUUUUUUCUUUUUUUUUUUUUUUUUUAGCACUGGAAUGACAAUCAUCAAAAUCAUUUACAAAAUGCAGUGUAAGUGAUGCUGUAUAAGGGGUGGUAAAAUGAAGUUAAUAUUAUACCAUUUGAUAGCUUAUAAACUGACUUAUAAUUAAGCAGUUGUAGGAUAAUUAAGUGUCUGUUUUGGCAGUAGCAUGGAUUUCAGAUUGGAAUUGAACACUGGCGUUGACACUAGUUAUUUGAACUGGACUAAUCAUUCAAUUCUGUGACCCUUAAUAGAAAAGUAGUUAAAUUAUAACAUGAAGGGUGAGACCUUAGAGUAGUUAAGAACUCAGGAGUCCUUUCUCCAUUCUAUCUUACUGGUUGGAUUCAGUAAACUUCAAAAUUCUCUACUCUUAAAAUGGAGGUAAAAAUCAUACCUUCCAAAUAGGAUUUUAUAUGAUUAAAUGAGAUAAUGCAUGUAUCUAACAUGUGAUAGGUACACAGUACUGCUGGCAUUGGAGUGCUCAGCUGGUAUAAAGUAGGUUUUCAAAAAUAUUGGUUUCCUCCAUCUUUCUUGGGUCUUACUGCUUUGGUGCUAAAAAUUUUAGCAAAUACGAGGAACUAAAGAUUGCUUUGCUCAAUAAAUAUUUAACAAAUUGCUUUUUACAGUGAAAAGUGUAUAUAUGUAUGAAAAUCAAGCUGCUUAGUUUAAAGGUGUGACUCCUUAACUAGGGCAGUUUAUGUGGAGAGUUAAAAAUAAUUUUAGAGUUUCAAAUACUGCAGGAUAAUGUAAUGGUUAAAACAAAAAUAAGAAAAUAUCUUUAAUAAUGCAAGUUACUGCCUGUUCCCUUUAGGAAUGAGUUCCUGGCUACAGAAGUCUUUAUCUAGACACCCAGAUCAAGCAGAAUACAAAGGUCACAAUGCCAAUUUCAUCUGAAACUUGUUUUGCAGUGCUUGAGUCUUGGUUUUUAGGAAAAGACUUGUGGUUGCUAUGGAACUGUUAAUAAUGAUUGCUGCCUGUAUCUCAAUUCUUCAUACUCCCAAUCUUCAAUAUAAAAUCACUUAGAUUUGGGCUCCAGGGCAGUAAACACACUUUUGAGCAGGAAUUAACUGGACUUGGGCAUUAGUGUCUUAAUGUAGGAAAUGACUUUCAUUAUAACCUUUACUUAUACUGGCAGUUAGGCUAUGUUAAGGUUUCCUAAUAGUGGGCUUAAUCGCAUGAGUGUCAAACUUUGCUCUUCUGGGUGAGCACUGCUAAAAGCAGAAACAUUUUGGGUUUUCAUCAGACAAUAAAUAUCAGAAGUCCUUGUUUUGUACAGAACUAGUCUUAGUGAGAGUAUUUUGUUUUCACAUAUAAAAAGAACCAGUAAUUCAGCCACAUACUGGAUUCCUAAGCAGAAAGAAGAAAAUAUUCCUGUUGAAAUAUAUACCUAUUUACUUUUAAAAGAAAUCUCACAGAAAAAUGACUUCUUUUUUGCUAUAUUUCUGUGAGAUUUGUGACCCAUGUAAUAGAUGCUUACAUCUAUUACAAUAGACCCAUGUAAUAACUCUAAAAUUCUUACUCCUGAAUUAUAUUUGUAAGAUAUGGAUAUCAGUCCUUAUUAAUGUAUAACCGAUCUUUGGGGAAAACUAAUCCAGUUCUUGAGCUCCAGGCAUAGAAAGUUAGGAAUGGGUUGUUGGAUGGGUGGGGAGAAGACAUAUCUAAUUUGGGGACGUUGCUGCCUCACCAGUUUGCAAGAAUAAUACGAAUAAAUCGCUUCAAUUUCCACAACUGUUUCUCUCUCUAAUCCCUACAGUGUGUGAUUUUCAACAAUUAUCUGGCCUUAUUCUCUGUUUUAUUGCUUAGGAUUUUAAUGCUUCAAAUGUGGAACAUAGAAUAAAUGUGAUUGCCAGUGAAACUUUAAAAAAAUGCUCAAGUGCAGUUUUCAGCUGACAUACAGCUAGUUUCCAACUUCUCAGCUGCAAGAAGUAACAACUCCAUAAAGGUUAAACAGGCUUGCUUUGGGCCCUGAGUAAAAUUAAGUCUUCUACCAACUCUAUGGCACUGCAGAAGACAAAGGAUUAUCUGUAUGAAUAAACUGAAUUUACAGGUCAAUACAUUCAUGUUUGCAGGACUAUUUAAAGUAUUAGAAGUUCUGAUAUAAUACAAGAAAAAUGCAGAUGUAACUAUCAAACUCAUCAAGCUGCUGCAGUAAAUUCAGAUACUCUCCAAGGCUGGCAAGGUGAUGUCAAAAAAGUUAAACUUGAAAAAUGAGACUUAGAUUUCUAAAUGAGAUCGGUUGGGGGAAGCAGAGUUAAUAGGGGAAAUCAAGACUGAAACAAUCAACAUUACUGCUACGUUUGGAGGACAGUUUAAAAAUCAAUUCUUUCUGCUUGUUCUAAAACUGUUCUGCCAAAGAAACUGACAUUGUUUCAUGCUUUUUAUUUUUCGGUUUAUUUAAUCUUCUUUAACACAGCCAUUGUUGGUUCAACAAUCCAAUAUUUGAGGUUACAU